Chelonia mydas (Green sea turtle) is the source of this 241-nucleotide long non-coding RNA. RefSeq lists it as uncharacterized. NCBI's taxonomy places the organism in Eukaryota, Metazoa, Chordata, Testudines, Cheloniidae. The transcript has 3 exons. The record is from RefSeq and is a predicted model, not a curated record.
UCUGGCCCAACCCUCCAAGGCCUGGUCUACACUAGGAGUUUUGGUAGUGUUUAGCUGCGUUAUUUCGAUUUAACCCUGCACCUGUCUACACAACGAAGCCCUUUCUUUCAACUUAAAGGGCCCUUAAAAUCGAUUUACUCCACCCCGAUGAGGGGAUUAGCGCUGAAAUCGGCCUUGCCAGGUUGAAUUUGGGGGACUGUGGACACAAUUUGAUGGUAUUGGCCUCCGGGAGCUAUCCCAA